GAGCUCCGCUCUUGCAA
Molecule: transfer RNA, 17 nt
Filed under: Tsuga chinensis
Lineage: Eukaryota; Viridiplantae; Streptophyta; Pinopsida; Pinales; Pinaceae
Description: partial tRNA-Ala
Source: RNAcentral